RNAcentral lists this ribosomal RNA (301 nucleotides) under uncultured bacterium. RNAcentral's name for it is "partial 16S ribosomal RNA". It matches the Rfam family "Bacterial small subunit ribosomal RNA", at positions 509 to 807 of the family's 1533-position model. The record is from RNAcentral.
CAGUCGCCGCGGGAAAACGUAAGUGGCAAGCGUUGUCCGGAAUUAUUGGGCGUAAAGGGCUCGCAGGCGGUUUCUUAAGUCUGAUGUGAAAGCCCCCGGCUCAACCGGGGAGGGUCAUUGGAAACUGGUUGACUUGAGUGCAGAAGAGGAGAGUGGAAUUCCAUGUGUAGCGGUGAAAUGCGUAGAUAUAUGGAAGAACACCAGUGGCGAAGGCGACUCUCUGGUCUGUAACUGACGCUGAGGCUCGAAAGCGUGGGUAGCAAACAGGAUUAGAUACCCGCGUAGUCCCUGUCUCUUAUAC